RNAcentral lists this transfer RNA (73 nucleotides) under Cavia porcellus (domestic guinea pig). It matches the Rfam family "tRNA". Rfam says of the family: Transfer RNA (tRNA) molecules are approximately 80 nucleotides in length. Their secondary structure includes four short double-helical elements and three loops (D, anti-codon, and T loops). The record is from Rfam by way of RNAcentral. Lineage: Eukaryota; Metazoa; Chordata; Mammalia; Rodentia; Caviidae.
GGGGAUUUAGCUCAGCGGCAUAAGCGCCUGCCUGGUAAGCACAAGAUCAUGAGUUUGAUCCUCAGUACCCCCC